GCGAGCGCUCCCGAGAGGCUUUGCGGGGCUCGGAAGCUUCUGCCCGCGCGGAGAUAAACAAGCACCGCGACCGCCGAGCAGCGCCGAACCCAGCGCGCCCAGUCAGACCCCAGGGCCUGUGUACCGAGCAUGCGCAGUUCCCGCCCAAGCCAGGAGCAGCGUCAACCUGAGACUCCCGAGACAUUAAGAAUUCGGAAGGGAUGAGAUGGUAGAGGGGCUAGAGCUACCUCCAAGCUUUAUCCUGAGGCGGGGAGUGAAGGAGAGAUGCCCAAGGCCCAAGAGGGGCCGCGAGGGCCUUUGUCCGAUGCCACCCAGUCUGUCAGCACUCCUAGAGCUUUGGUUUUAUCUUGUAUUAGCAUGUGAAGCUUUAAGGGGGGGGCACCUACAGGCUUCUGACUGAAGUUGUGUAAACGCAACAAAAUGAAGCUUUGGAGCGUUAGGACAUUGAUGGGAGGGUGACGCCCCCCUCUAGCAGCGCGCCAGAGGGGCGAGUCAGAGGCGGCCACACACCACGGAAGUCGGGUCCAAGCCCGCUGACGUCGCCGGGGUCCCGCCCACCAACCCUCUGGACCCGCCCACAUUUCUUCUAGACCCGCCCCUUUCGGUGCCGAACUGAAGUCGAGCUCUUCCCACGCCCUGUCAGCCACGGGUGAGUUGAAAACCUGGAGAGCGGAAUCCCGAACGGCAGCCGGAAGGCCCUGGACUCCUCAUAGCAACAGCCAGCUAGGGGCAUCUAGUGGGAAGCUGGGAUUCAUUCUAGCCAACCACAUCACGUCUCUGUACCACAAGGUACCAUUCACGACCAAUAAGAGAGCGCCCCCAUACCACGUGCCUUUACUCCUUCAACCAAUCGAGAAAAACGCUAGUCGUAGGAUCCGCAAGCCCACCUCCCAGUGCCUUGCCAGGCGGGGCUCUUCGCGCACGCUCUGCCAACCAAUCGUAGGUGAGCUGGCGAGUGACGGAAGCUUCGGCCAAGCCAACCAGAGCUCGCGAGCCCCUUGCCACCGAGGCCGGCGGGAUGGAGACAGGGACCGGCUGCUGGGGUUUGGGAGGGGCAGAGAUUGAGGAGCCAGUUGCUGUGCCCUGUUCUGGCAAAAGAACAAGAUGCGUUGCAAGCCAGAAUGAUGAAUUCCACUUUUCACGUCGCCUCCGUGGCAUUCUGCCUAAAUGAUGGGCAUGGAAAUGGUGCUGAGGGAUGUGGGCUGAAUCGAGAACACAGGGACUUUUGUCUUCAGGGUGAGAAAUGUUCCGGUCCUUAAGGAAACAUCGUGCAGCAGUUGCAUGGGUCUUCCAGGCGUUCCUCCCAAAACAUUAUUUUUUUUCUUUCACUAUUGAGUUUUAAAACUUAGCGUUCUGUCGCUAGCAUUGCAUCUUAGUUACACAUCCUCUCCCACCCAUAACGUCAAAUUUAGGAGACGAUACAUCCCCAAGCUUUCCUGCAUUAUUUUUUGCAGUAACUGGUUAUUCAGUUUACUUUCUUUAAACUAUGUCCUUCUCAAACUAGUCUCACCUGUUCGUUACUGUCGCACAUUUCCUGCGAAUAACACGUUUCUGUAGUUCUGUUGUUAGAGCCUGGCAUACCUCUCCCCGUUCCUCUUUCCCACAAGGUCAUCAUGCAGAGGGGAUUUUGGUCUGAGUUAAAAGCCAGGUAUUCUUUCACCAUCUUUUCUGUCGAUAGUCAAACUACUACAAAGACUACUCAAAUUUAGUAGUUUCUUAUUUCCCUAUAGCUUCGUUAUAUUAGAAUGGAUAACUUAUAUUUGCAUUACCUUGCUGUAAUGAACACACACCAAGUUUUCAUUUAAAAUUAUCAAGGACAAAUGUCCUCUGAAUUUAAAAAUGUGUAUGUAGUAAAAUAUAACUCAGCAUUUCUUGAUUACAUAUCAUUAAAAUAUGAAUGGUACUAUCUGAGCCACCAGAAUCAGCAGUGAAGGUAUUAUAUUAAUAAAAAGGACUAAGAAUCAGGACUGUUUUAAGGGAACUGGAACCGAAGAGGAUCUACUAUUUCAUCCUAGGCUAGUUAACAUGAAAUAGUGAAUUAAAAUUGAAAGAGCUUACAUGGAUGCUUCAUAUCUGAGCUACUUUGGCAGGGAUGUUUCAAGAGGAUGUAGGUAAGUAUGGUGUUCACCUAGCUUUCCAGAAGUCUCAUAUUUUGUGUAAAAUUGGUAUGCUUAUUCAUGGUUACUUUGGGUUAGUAGAAGCUAUACUUCUUUUCCAAGGAAAGACAGACUGUCUUAAGAUUCUAACUGUGCAUCUUGGUGAUAAGAAGUUCUUAGGGUUGUUAAAUAGAGCCAGGAAGCGUGAAGCUUUCUCUCUAGAUCAUGACAACUCAUCUAGUACCUUGCAUUACAAAGGAGCUCUAAGUCCAUUUACUUUGCAAGGAAUGAAGUUCCAGUGAUUAAUGUUUUUGAGAAAUUUGUAUUGGGAUUGUGGGGUCCAGAAGGUUGCCUUAAGUAACUGUUUUCAUGACUCCUAGGUCCCUAGAUGUUGAGAAGCUCUGGAUUGAAGCUGUCACAAAAAUAGUGAGUGGGCUCCGUAGUCACUCCAUUUAGCAUAAUACAGAGUAGGACAGCUUUGUGACAUUUCUCAGGCUAUUUCCCCUGACCUCUCAUCAAUGCUGACGUUUUUGAUAAGAAGGGGUAUAGAGACUGCAGCCCUUGGGGUGGUUACAGUUCAUUUAUUUACAGGCCUUAUAUUGACAGGCCUCAGAUUUCAUGCUCAGUACCAUAAAGGUUGAUUUUUAACCACCAAGAGGCAAAAGAAACAUGACAGGUCGGAGCAUAUUUUCUCACCUAUUCUGGCUUAAAUGAUGGUACUUACCUGAUUUGUGGUUGUAGGUGAAAUGUUGGGUGAAAGAUUAGCUGCUAUAAAAAGGAUGUCAGGACGUGUAGAGAAUUUAGAGGACUUGGGUGGGAGAUGGAUGUCUAUUUUCUAACCCCUUAGUCAUGUUCAUUCCGAUGCCAGCAUAAACUCUAUUUUGAGAUGAUUAUAGAAAUAACUUAUAUCUUCAUUUGUUUGUGGGAAAUAAAAAAUAAAAAUGAUAUAAAAGAAAUUUGAAUUAUUCCCAAGAGCUGUAAAUCUGUAAGAUAGUGAAAACUUAACGCAGUAACUGACACUGCAGGAUCCCUUUAGUUUCCAAAGUGCAUUGCCAGGAGAAUAAAAAGAAAGAAAAUCUUCAUUUCUCCUCUCUCCACUAAAUCUGAAAGGGAGUUAUCUCACCUAUAGCCAGAUACCUUCAAUUAUCGCACUUGUGUUACCGUGGAAACCCAAGUCCAUCCUUUCUUUCUGUAAAAGGUGUUGGAAAAGGUGGUAUGAAGUGGGAAAGGUACUGUAUUCUGGGACUUCCUGACACCAGCAAGAAGCAAAUAUGCAGAUAAUUUAAUAGAAACAAAUUAGUAGAGGAUGUUUGUAAUGCGAGGGGUACUUUUCGACUGUAAAACCCUGAUUCCUAAUGCUUCUUAUUAAAGCCUGCAUGCCUCUGAUUAAACAUAAAGGGGAAGGGCAUGUCAAGUACAUUUAGCACCUGUGAAACGCUGCUGGCAAGUAUAAGGAGAGCAGACGAUGGUUUCUUGACCUGUGAGGCUCCUAAUACAGUUGAGAAUCUGCAGUAUAUAUGUGGAGUGGAAAGGAAGGGGCAAAAUAAACUUUGUUCUUCCUUUAAAAAAUGUGAUAUGUCUCAGUGCUUUUGAAAAGAAAAGGAAUUAGAAUGCAGAAAUUAAGAGUAUGGAAACAACUCAAUAAAAGAAACGUAUGGGUGGAGAGAGUAGAUGUUUCAAAAGGCCAUUUUAAUCAGAAAAAAAAUCUGAAAGAAAAGACGUAAUGAUUAAAAUGUAGGCAGAAAAAAGAAAAAGCCUGAAGAAUCUUAAGAGCUAGAGGAUUCUGCGGAAAACAGAGCUUCAGUGUGGUUCAUUUAACAAAGCAGAAGAGCAGGCACAGUGUUGCUUGCGUACCCAGCAGUUUCCCUUUAUUUUUGCCAAAGAAGCUGGGAUGAAUCAGGAUUGGACUUUAAUAGCAUUGCUUUCCCUCUGCCCACGGUUAGUCCAAAAGUAGGCACGUGACUCAGUUCUUGUCAUUGGAAUGGGGAGAAGGCUGCUAGGGCUGGAGGGAUUUCUAGGAUAUUGACAAGAGUGAGGAAAUAUCCCCGUUUUCUGAUGUCGCUCUCUUUGCUUCCUGCUUUACACAUUGAAAUAUGAGAAUGUGGCCUCCAUUUGGGGGCUAUGAUGCAUUAUGACAUUAUGGUGCAAUACUGUAGAAAGCCAGCAACUUCGGAUGGCCAGGGAGGAGGAUGGGAAGAACCUAGGUCCUGCAUGACAACAUUGGACAGUCAAACCAACAUUAGAACUGCCCACAUUUGGACUUAUGGCUAAGUAAACAGCUGGUGUCUUUCAAUUUAAGUGUGUGUUGGUAAGGUUUUCUGCAUCUUACAGCAAAAUACAUCCCACCUGUUAACAAAAAGUAUGAGGGAUUCCAGCCAAAAUCGGGCUUUAAAAAAUCAGCAAGCAUUUGUGAGCACUUUCAUUUCACUAAUAUCUGAACGAUAGUUCAAAGAUACUAUAAUAUUAAUUGAGUAAUUACUGUGUAUAUUUUUUAGGCUCUGGGGAUAAAACAAUAAGCAAUUAGCCAAAAGAGCUUGUAUUCUA
Molecule: long non-coding RNA, 4640 nt
Filed under: Homo sapiens (human)
Lineage: Eukaryota; Metazoa; Chordata; Mammalia; Primates; Hominidae
Description: non-protein coding lnc-OXGR1-6:1
Source: RNAcentral